CCCCUGUCACAGCCUGACCCCAUGCCCUCGGGUCCUGUCACUGGAUAGCACUACAGAGAACAGAUCGGCGCCUGCCCCUCCACUGCCCCUCGUGAGGAAGCUGCAGGCCGCCAUGAGGCCUCCCCUCAGCCUCCUCUUUCCAGCCUGAACACGCCCAGUGCCCUCAGCUGCUCCUCCUACAGCUUCCCCUCUAGGCCCUUCACUGUCUUAGUUGCCCAGUAAGCUGGAUUUGUGUUAGUGGUGUGGCUGAUGGGCUAGGAAAGCUGCUCUUCUGACACAUUGUGCGGGUCAGAUAGGCUUAGGCAGGGGGUUGAAACCGAAGCAGUGGCAAUAGUGUUAACCUUAGUGAAGAAACUGCUCAGCGAACCUGAGUCCAAGCUCAGUCUUGUACUUCGCAGUACUGUUCUUUAUUUGGCCAUGCCUUGGCAGCCCUGCGAGCACAGAUAUUGACCUCCACUACUGAGAAAGCAAGAAAAUAUUUUGGCAUUCCUUACAUAGAGAUGGCUGAAGGACUUUGUACUCAGGAUUUUUCAAGACAUGUGGUGUAUCAUGCUCCCUGGCUCCUUGUGGGACCAGCCUGGUUUUCUGCUUUCCUCUGUUGGCAAAGGAUGGUGAAGGCAGAAAACUCCUUCUGCUGUCUUGGGAGAUGUCAACUCUGGACCUCUAAGCGGUUGAUGCCUGCCAAUGCUGACUGGUCAGGUGAGAUUCCUCAGUGCAAGUACGCAGUGGGAGCUUUGGCUCCGCACCAGAAAGGAGGCAGAAGAAUGAAGGAAUGCUCUCCUGGCUCCCCUCCAGGUAGCAGGGAAGGCGACGAGGACUGUCCAUUGUAUGAGACAAACUGUAAUUUCAGUCCAUGCAGAUGGAGGAGAAAUGCAAUUUGUACAGAACAGGCAGGUAAUGUUCUUCCCUCAAACACUAUUUCAUGA
This 926-nucleotide long non-coding RNA is filed under the name Anas platyrhynchos platyrhynchos (common mallard). Its description in RNAcentral is "lncRNA (ENSAPLG00000016922.1)". Lineage: Eukaryota; Metazoa; Chordata; Aves; Anseriformes; Anatidae. The record is from RNAcentral.